RNAcentral lists this transfer RNA (87 nucleotides) under Verrucomicrobiota bacterium. Its description in RNAcentral is "Verrucomicrobia bacterium (wastewater metagenome) tRNA-Leu". It matches the Rfam family "tRNA". Rfam says of the family: Transfer RNA (tRNA) molecules are approximately 80 nucleotides in length. Their secondary structure includes four short double-helical elements and three loops (D, anti-codon, and T loops). RNAcentral also lists the same sequence under 1 other name. The record is from RNAcentral. Lineage: Bacteria; Pseudomonadati; Verrucomicrobiota.
GCCGAUGUGGCGGAACUGGCAGACGCGCUAGACUCAAAAUCUGGUUCUCGAAAGGGAGUGGGGGUUCAAGUCCCUCCAUCGGCACCA